CCCUUCAGAGGGGGACAACAGUUGGAAACGACUGCUAAUACCGCAUACGAUCCAAUCUCGGCAUCGAGGAUGGAUGAAAGGUGGCCUCUAUUUAUAAGCUAUCACUGAAGGAGGGGAUUGCGUCUGAUUAGCUAGUUGGAGGGGUAACGGCCCACCAAGGCGAUGAUCAGUAGCCGGUCUGAGAGGAUGAACGGCCACAUUGGGACUGAGACACGGCCCAG
Molecule: ribosomal RNA, 221 nt
Filed under: uncultured bacterium
Lineage: Bacteria
Description: partial 16S ribosomal RNA
Rfam family: Bacterial small subunit ribosomal RNA
Source: RNAcentral